This 514-nucleotide ribosomal RNA is filed under the name uncultured bacterium. RNAcentral describes it as "partial 16S ribosomal RNA". It matches the Rfam family "Bacterial small subunit ribosomal RNA", at positions 28 to 523 of the family's 1533-position model. The record is from RNAcentral.
GAUGAACGCUGGCGGCGUGCCUAAUACAUGCAAGUCGAGCGAACAGAUGAGAAGCUUGCUUCUCUGAUGUUAGCGGCGGACGGGUGAGUAACACGUGGGUAACCUACCUAUAAGACUGGGAUAACUCCGGGAAACCGGGGCUAAUACCGGAUAAUAUUUUGAACCGCAUGGUUCAAUAGUGAAAGACGGUUUCGGCUGUCACUUAUAGAUGGACCCGCGCCGUAUUAGCUAGUUGGUAAGGUAACGGAUUACCAAGGCGACGAUACGUAGCCGAGCUGAGAGGGUGAUCGGCCACACUGGAACUGGGACACGGUCCAGACUCCUACUGGAGGCAGCAGUAGGGAAUCUUCCGCAAUGGGCGAAAGCCUGACGGGGCAACGCCGCGUGAGUGAUGAAGGUCUGCGGAUCGUAAAACUCUGUUGUUAGGGAAGAACGAAUUCGUUAGUAACUGAACAAGUCUUGACGGUACCUAACCAGAAAGCCACGGCUAACUACGUGCCAGCCGCCGCGGUAA